This 29963-nucleotide long non-coding RNA is filed under the name Marmota monax (woodchuck). The record is from RNAcentral. Lineage: Eukaryota; Metazoa; Chordata; Mammalia; Rodentia; Sciuridae.
UGAGUCAGCCGGGGGCUGGAUCCCAGUCUAGAUAAUGAAUGGCUGUGGAGUAGAAAAGACGCAAUCGAGGCCACCCCCACGGUUCUCCUAGCGGCAGGGUCCACCAGCGCCAGAGCCUCCACUUCUUUGAGGGACCUGGAGUUAGAGGUGGAGUGAGAGGCGCGAGGGGGGCCGGGCAGCGGCCGGGCGCGGGCCCUUUAACUAGGAGCGCGGGCGCGGCCAGGUAAGGGGCGGGCCUGCGGGCGGAUGAGCGCUGCGCGCCGGCGCCGGCCCGGGAGCCGGAUUUGGAGCGCUCGGCGGCGGCGGGGGCCGGAGGAGGCGGCGCGGCGGAGCCUCGGUGGCCUGGGACGCUCCUCCUAGCGAGGGCCGCCGCCCGCCUCCGCCUGGAGCUCCCUCGCCCCGGCCGGGACCGGCCGCCACUUCCGGCGGUUCCUCUGGGACGCGCUCACCUGGGACGCGUUACCUGCCUCCGGGCACCUGGGCUGCAGGAUGAAGGACCGGCUGGAGCAGCUGAAGGCGGUAAGUCCCGCGAAGCCGGGGGCUGCGGGGCGCGGCCGGGAGGUGGAGCUGCGUGGGGGGGGGGCCUUCUCUUUGCUCCCCAGGUCCAGGCUGGAGGGCCGCCGAGCGCGAGGCCUGCCCUCUCCAGCCCCCGCAGCAUCCCGCGCAGGUUCCUCACCCUUCCUGGUCCUGCAGGGUCAUGUGCUCCGUGAUUCAUCGUCCAGCAGCGAUUUCCCUGACCGCCUCUCACCUUCCCACCCCCAGGUGGACUGGCGGGGGGUGCUCGGGCCGAGCGGGGCUCGCGGAGAGGUCCUGAGGGGUCACCCCACAAGUGUCAGGCACCAUAUCCAUAACUGGUCUCCUUCGCCUUCCUGAUUCCCUCCUGGGGGACACUGGACCAUGUUGACUCCUUCCCUGGGAGCAGCUCAGAUAUUCCGGUGACCUCUCCAGCUGUGGGCCAGUUCCAGCUCCUAGCCAUCCGUUGGUGGUCUGUAUUUAACCCGCACCUCCCGGCUCUACCCCCCCACCCCCACCCCGCGGCACUCCCACCCUCCGCCCCCAUUCCUUGGGACAGCUGUGGUCAGAGUAAAGGAUCCUAAGAUUAACCGCCAUGGGCGUUGCUUCACAAAAACUGAAACCAGGUGACUCUUGAGCCUGUUUCCUUGUGUGUCAAGUGGGAAUGUUAGAAGUUUGUUUGAGGAUCAUAAUGGGACAAUAUAGAGAAGCAUUAAAACAUGAAUUUUGGAGUCAGAUAUUCACUGACUCAUUCAAUAAUUAUUGAGUGCGUUCUAUAGCACGGGCCCCGUGUUAAACCUUGGAGAUUCAGUGACGCAGGCUCUACCUUAAUGGAAUUUCAAAUCUUUCCCUUGAUACAGUGUUGUCCAUCUACUUGGAAGCAGCACAUUAGGCUUCAGUCUAAACCUGCAGAAUCUGAUUCUUUAUGAAUCUUCCCAGGUGAUUUAUGAGCACAUUAAAGUUUGGAAAGCACUGAACUGGGUGAUAAGUGGGGCUUUCUCCUGCCCCCCCCCCCUGCUUACUGGCGAUUGCUUAAAGUCCAAGCCUAAGUUAUCUGUAAAAUGAGUAGUUGUGAAAACUAAAAGCAAGAGAGUAUGCAGAAGCACCCUUUGUAUGGUGCAUGCAUAUAGAAUUUAUAAAUGGUAAGUAUUAUGCUAAUAAGUGUAAAUGUCUUUUGGAAAAUAGAAGUGUUAGGGUGUUGCAUUUGUUUUUUUCUCCUCCACCUUUGCUUGGAUGAGAUCUUCAUGACCCUUUCACAUGCACUGGGCAGUAGGGCUGCAGAGGAGGCCAGGCAGCAAGAACAGGGGAACAGUUGCAUACUGUGGGAGCUGUGGGUGUGAGCUCGCCCCUGCCCCAGACUUGCUCUUUGUCAUCUGAGCCUCAGGGCAUCCUGGUUACUUACAGGGCAGAAUUUAUUGUCCCUAUUUUAUAGAUGGAGAAGCUGGAGCUGGCCCUGGGUAGGAGGGAUGCCCCAGGUCAUAGAUCUGGUCAGGGCACAACCAGGCGAGGAACCCAGACUUCUGAUACUCUUUCCUUUGAAGCAUGCUGGUUGAAGAGGCAGAAAGGAAAGAAGGCUUUGAAGAGUUUUGUAUGUCAUAAAAAAGUGCCAAACUGAACUGCAGACAGAGGUGACCCCCUUCCUUAUUCAGGAAAUCCAUUUCCAGAGGAAGAUGCCCCCUGGCCCUUUAAUAGCUCAUUGUCAACAGAGUAAAGAGUCUUAACUGAGCUUUGAGUUCCAAGAAUAAAUGCAGUUUGCUAGUGAAUCCAAGCAGGUCCCUUUGCCUCUGUGCUUUGUGCUUCCUCUUACCCUCUAUAAAAGGAAGCUAAUGAUAUGUUUCUUCCCUUAAACCGUUGGGAGUGUAGUGAAAGUGAGACUGUAGAAGGUGCUGUUAUUGUGGGAGUAUUGUUCUGAAAUCACAGGGUGGUUGCUGUUAGGUUUUGGAGUAGAGAGAUGCCGGGCAGCACAGGGCUAAGAGGGACUGGGUUGCAGGUUCAAAGCCUUCUAAUUGUGACCAUGUUAUUAAUUAGCUGUGUUGCUUUUGCCACUUUACCCUUCUGCUUCUUGAUGCUUCCUUUGUAAAACGAGGACUUUAGUUGAUCCCAGAAGACCCUCCUGGCAUUAUUAAUGGUCUCUGUGGAGACCGUCAGGAUUUGUGUGUGUUCUGGUCUGGAGUCCAUCUCCUCUACCCGCUGCCCCAAGAAUCACCUUCACUGCAACAAGAUAUGUCAGUGUCUUUCUCUGGUUCCUUUUCUCAACCAAAAGUGUUUGCUAAUCUUCAUGAAACGAGAGUAGCCUGUGCAAUGUCUUUCUAAACCCCAGGAAGGGAGGUGGUAAGUGCCUUCAGAUAGCAGGAAGGUUGGCAUGUGAAUGAGAUUAGCUUUGCUCUGUGUAGAUACCAGGGGAAAGUGUGGGGUGGGUGGGUAGAAGUCAGGAAUUGGUAAGAGCAAUUUUACUGUUCAAAGAUAGGGUAGGCUGACUGGAGAGGUGGCAAACCCUCCAGCAGGGUUUCUUUCCUAAGAAGCUUGUUGGGAUGAUAAAUGCUGCAGGAAUUUGAGUAUCUUUUUGAAGGGGAGAAGGUGAACCAGGAGAUUUAGGCCUCCACGAACCCUGAGAAUGUAUGAUCCCAUAAGAUAUUUUAUUGUGAGCCUCUCCUGAGCUUCACUGUUUGUGAUGUGAGUCUGUCUCAAGGCUUUGGAGACCAUAAGGGUUUUCCCUCAGAAUGGCACCUAUAAAGUGGACCUUUAUCCUUUUUCCCUAGCGUCAUUGUGGGGGUGAAAUGAGAUAAUCCAUGACAAUCGCCAACCACAGUAAAUGUGAGUUCUCUGUACUAGGCCCCCUGAGAGUAACAUCCACACUAAAUUAGGGCAUACCUUCCUAAGGCCAUGGUCACAAGCCUUGGUGUACCUUAUCUCUUGCGCUGCCCCUCCUGAUGGGCUCCCUCAGGAGCUUGCUUCUGACCUGGGAGAGGCUUGCCAAGAAUGUACAAUGCCCACAUCCAGCCUUUCUUAGUGGUUUUUCUGAUUUCUCUGUAGGUGAACUUUGAACUUGCUGAGUCUGGACAAUUCCCAGUCUAGGGACCUUCUUGUCUGGUCCUCUUUUCACUCAGCAAACAUUCACUGAGUCACCACUAUGUUCCAGACCCUGCAGUUAGGUGCAGGAGUGGAGUGGCAACUAACACCUAUUUCUGGCCCUUAGCAAGCUCAUGGUCAGGUGGGGAGACGCACAAGAAAUAGGCACUGUGAUACACCAUCCUUGUGGUAGAAGCAGCCACAGGAAGACCUGACUGGCUGGCCUCUGAGAUGGGGAUGAGCAAGGAGGUGGGAUUUCCAGAAGUAAAGCUUUUGAGUUCAGGUCCUUCUUCACGUGUAAUCUACUAUCUUCAGAUGCAUGUAGAGUCCUUUAGGAAGAAAGACCAGGAGACUGUAUUUUCUCAACCACUCUCCCAUGGGUGAGUGCUUCAUGUAUAAACCAUCAAGAACAUAAAAAUUCACGAAGCAUUCACACAGGUGCCUGUGUAUGGCAGCCACUGACUGCCAUGGUCAGAGCCUUUUGACCUUUAUGUGCUUUGCAUCCUGCUAUAUAUGACAUUAAGCAGAAUUAUUGUACAAAGUCCUUGUCUUAAAGAGUAAAUGGCCAUAAAGGGAAAACAAAGAAAUGUAUUUCGUGAAAGAGAACAAAACCCAAAAAAGUCAAAGGUAGAUAAUGGAGAAGCCAGUGAUGUAUGGAAAAGAGGUCUGGGACUUUGGAUCCCCUUGGAGACUGAUCUGUGGAGUGCCUUGGACCCUCCAAGAUCAGCACCAGUGGGCACACUAAUGAAAUCAACUCCCUGGGGCUCUAAAGGGCAGAUUUACUUUUAUUCUCUCUGUCCUGUCCUGUGUCUUGCCCCUUUCUAGUGGGCUGUGCUGUCGUCCUUCCCCAGUGAAGCUCAGGAUGGUGCUGAUCCCUUAGAAGCAGGAAGCUGUGCUUCCCCUCUACCUGACUUCUUCAUGUACAUGCUUACUGAGCCCCUACUCUGCGCCAGGUGCUUCGGAUCAUCACCUAGUCUUGACAUACCAACCUAUCCCUUUGUUGGGAUUCUGUCCUUUAGUGAUAAGAUUUCUUAUUAGUCAGGAUUCCUUCCUCCCCUCCUCUGUCAACCUGGGAGGAUUCAUUUUCUGGGAGAGAUGUUUUGCUGGGAGCAGAGCUGGGAUGAGGGUGACUGACGGGGAUUGAGAAGGGAUUACAGACCCAUCAGCCCGUGGCCGAGAGAAAAUGCUUGGAUGAGAGAAGGGGAUUAAUUUUAUUUUUAUUCCUGUAAGUGUGGGGGAGGGAGGGAUUGGCAGGCGCCAAGGCAGAGAUGUUAUGCAGGAUCUUGUCCUCUCUUCCCUCCAGCACUUCCUUCCCCUCUUUGGUCAGCAUUUAUACCCAUCUCCCCAAAUUCAUUCUUAUAGACAGUGCUCCCUAACUGCAGCCUAGAAUGCUCUCCCUCCGUCCUGCAGUUUGUGUUGACUGUAUGUUGCUUUACAAUUAAAUACUUUGAAGUCAGUCUGGUUUUUACUACCAUGAAGUGGGUUUGAAAACCACCUUCUACUUUUUUUUUUUUUUUUUUUUUUAAAGAUCUGGACUCUGUCUUUAACAGUUGAUCUUCUGUGUUGAAGAUCAAUGAUUCUUUUUGUUGUCACCAUAUCAACUACAGUAAUAAUUAUAAUUUAUUGAGCAGCUACUUUCUAUUGGGCAGCACUUGCGUUAGGUGCCUUGCCUACCUGAUCCUCUCAAUCCAGCAAGGCAAGGCAGUCUUAUGUAUUCUUCCCAUUUUACAGGUGAGGGAGUUGAGGCUUAUGUUUGACAGAGAUCCCCAGCUGGAAAGUGGUGGGAUCAAUAAUUGAGUGAGUCUCUCUUAUAUAUUUGUAUCAUGUCCUGUGCUGUACUAUGAUCAUUUCCCUCACCGCACUUUAUGCUCCUCAGUACAGUGGCAGAUAAUGAUAUCCCCCUGGGUCUCAGGGCCUAGCUCUCUUCCUGGUAGGCGCGUGUUAAACAUUCGUUUGUUGGCUGAUCAACAGCAGCUUAUGCACCCUUAUGGGCCUUAUGCACCUCUUAUUCAUUAUUAGGACUGUUUUUUGUGCUCUAUUCCCUGUGGGUUGGUGAAACUUUACCUGCUUAAAGUGGAACAUUUACUCUGGGAACCCAUAAAUUUCCUAAUGAAGCCAGAAGUCACUGUCCAUCCCCAGGGAUGAAUGAGUUCCAAUGUACCUACCCUUACCUAAACCCUCAGCCCAAGAUGACAUGGAGGGUUGCCUCUUAUUGGAAAGACAAUGAAGGAGAAGAUGUAGGUAUCUCAGUGAAAAUCUACCCUAUCUUAUUUUCCCCUGCAAAAUCCUACUUGUCCUUUAAGGCUGGGUUCCAGUAUCAUCACUGUAUGGACGUUUCCCAGGCUGACCACAUUGACCAUACCUUCCCUGACCCCCACUUGAUUUUUUUGUUGAUAUAUAAAAACAGCCUCAUUGAUAUUGCAAGUUCAGAAGCUGUCUGCCCUGUUAGGUCCAGGACUCUGGAACAGAGCACAGCCCCCACACGCCUCCUUCUCUCCAGCCCAAAGCUUGGAAGACUGAAAACCAGACCAUUCAGGGGAUGAACGGGGUUAUGUUGUCAGUGGAUUUACCUGCAGAUUCUGUAGUCCCUGAGGGGCCUUAUCUCCAGCCUCCUUUAUUUAUUUAUUUAUUAUUUUGUGGUUCUGGGACUUGAACCCAGGGCUUUGUCCAUGCUAGACAAGCUCCCUGCCAACUGAGAUAAAUCCCCAACCCCCUUUUAUUUUAUAUAUGGCCCCUUUUCAGGUCCCUGACCCCUGCUUUUAGGCAUUAACAGGCUAUUUCCAAAGCAACAUUCUGCAGUCUUUGUGUGGAGACAGUCUGAAGUUCAGCCCCCUCCUAAAGAGACUGGUGAAGCGUGCACUAUUUGGGUAUGUUCUGCUGUCUGGGUUAGGGCAGGGCGACUUGGUGUGACAUCAGGUGCCGGUGUUUUUUUUUUGUUUUUUUUUUAAAUCUUUUUGUUUUGGACUAUGUUUCGUUUUACAGAAAAGUUACAAAGAUACUUCAGAAGUUUUUGUCUACCCCUAGCUGGUUUCCCCUAUUAUAACUGGUACAUUAUUAUUCAUUAAAUGCCAGGCUGUAUUUGGAUUUCACUCGUUAUUCCACCAAUGCCCCUUUCCUGUCCUAGGAUCCAAUCCAGGACACCACAUUGCAUUCUGUUGUCAUGUCUCCUUAGCUUCCUCUGGCCUGGGACAGUUUCUCAGUUGUCCUUUGUUUUUCAUGACCUUGUCAGUAUGGCACUGUUUUAUGGUGCUUUGGAAGUGCAUUUCCUGGGGCCAGUGCUGCUGCAGCUGGGGUGGGGGUGGGUUAGCUGCUAAGAGUCAUCACUCCUUGAUGGUUGAGAACAAAGGCUCUGGGGCCAGCAGCCCGGGCCCUCUCCCAGCUGUCCACAGGAUACCUGGCAUCUUUGUGCAUUAGUUUCCUCAGCUGUAGGAUGGCAAGUGUCCCCAGAAGAUUAGCUUGGGGAUUAAACGCCCUGGUAAAUAUAAAGUGCACGUCUUAUAAGGAUCCUUAGCUUACUGAGAGCUUUCAACGAAUGCUUCAUGUUUUAACUGUGAUUUAAGUAUUCUAGAAGGGCCAUGUGGGGAAGGGAGUUAUGGGACAGGAUGAAAGGAAGGUUUGAGGAGAGGUCUGAGAAGGGUGUAAGACAGUGUUCCUUCCUUCCUCCUUCUGUGUCCUUAAGCUGAAUGCUGAGGAGGCGUUGGGGGGGCCAGGUUUGGAGGGUGGAGGAGGAAGAAACUAAAGGGAAGCUGAGUUCUCCAGGAGGAGAAAGAAGAUAUUAUUUGGAUUUGUUUGAAUGGCUCCAGGGGUUGUUAGGAGCACCUGGUUAAAGAGAAUAAUUCUGUAAACAGGGCCCACUGUGCUGACCCCCACAUGCCUUUUUUUUUUUUUUUUUUUUUUCCCCAAGGAGCAAUUUACCUGCCUAAGUGAACAGAAUAGGUCAUAUUGCUCAGCAAACUACUUGUUAACUCCAGGAGAAAUGUAGGCCUGAGAUAAGUUGAUAAAGAGGAACCCAAGUUACCCUGGAGGGGGACUUUUGUGACCAGAUCCUGAAACUCUAGGAGAUCAGGAUAAUUCCUCCUGACCAUAAAAUCUGUAAGAAUGUAUGGUUAGGAAUCCAGUUAGAGCCGUUCAGCCUCCACCAGGGUGACCUAGAAUUGUCAUGGCAAUUGGUACCUGAAAGUCUGAUGUCAUCUUGCUCUCAGUCAAAAGUCAAGAGUUGGACAUGAGUAGGACUCUCUGGAAAUUUUUUGGGGAUCCCCAGUGAGACUGGAAUGUAGGAGAGGCAUGUUGUCCCUUUCCUCUCUGAGAGGACCCACUCUCUCCCUUUAGAGGGUCCCUUUUCCUUUUUACUAUGCCUUCAGUAAAUUCAUGCCUGUUACUCUGAAAGACAUACCUGGAAUCUUUCUGACUUGAUCGUAAGAAUCGGGGUGUGAAGAGGGAUCUUCUCACUGCCUCAGUUUCUCAGACAGCCCUCAGCUCUGUAACAGGUUGAGAGAGAAGGCAGAAAGAAGAUGUGGUCUUUUUACCUGCAAUGGCCUUCUUGUAGGUUUUCUUGGAGUAAGUCCAUCCAGUUUUCAAAAUUUCCCCAAGGAGCUACCUCUGCAAGGAUUCUCUGAUAGGCUUGCAUCUUCCCUGGCUAUGCCUUGUGUCCAGGUGAGGUUGGGCACCUGUCUUCUCCUGGGUGUGCUUAUAUUUUCCUUGUACUGUGUGAUGUCAUCACUCACCAGGUGGUGCUGGAAGGGCCUGUCGGUCCAUCUGCCAUCUGAGACAGUGAGAUCCUGGAGAGCUGGGGGUGUUUGAGGGUGUUUGAGUGUGUUUGUGUUUUUCCAGCGUCUAUACUAUGGCUUAACAAAUGUUAGAUGUUCCAUAAAUACUGUUGGAUGAGUGAACAAACACAUGAAUCUGUUACUUGGCAUGGAACCUUCCUGUGAGUGAAUACUGGGGAUGUGGUGGUUGAGUUCCCUCUCCAAGUUGAUGUAGCAGUGAAUCUUGGAUUGGGCCAAGAGGCUCCAAAAUCAGCUCUUUUUUUCCCCUCAUGAGCUGGGUAAUCCUGGUUGGAUUAACCUUCCUAACCCAGAUUCCUUGUUGGUAAAGAUGACAUCUACCCAGAGGGUCUCUCCCAAUCUUUUCUUUCCUUGUGUUCACUGCUUCUACCCAAAUCUAACUCACGUAUUGAGAAGCAAAAGCAGGUAGGAACUAAAUGACAUGUGGGGAUGGAAUUUGUAUAUAACAAAUAUAAUGCAAGUUUAAGAACUUUUUUAUUUUUUUAUUUUUUGGUAUUGGGUUUUGAAUCCAGGGAUGUUUUAUCACUAAGCUAUGUCCACAGCUCUUUUUAUUUUUUAUUUUGAGGCAAGGUCUUGCUAAGUUGCUUAGGUCCUUGCUGAGUUGUUGAGGCUGGCCUCAAACUUGUGAUCCUCCUGCCUCAGUCUCCUGAGUCUCUGGGAUUGUAGGUGUGAGCCACCACACCUGGCUGAAUAGAAGUUCUUUCAAAAGACACAUAGAAGAAUAAGAAAUAAUGACCCUGUAUUAAGACAAAGAAAAUGCAUAGACUACAAGUCAUGUAUUCUCGGACAGAGAUGUAAUUAGGAAUCACAAUACAAUAAUAAUCCUUCCCAGCUUACCCACCUUGGAAAUUUCAAAACACCUUCCCAUGUAACUCUUGGCUUAAAAAUGAAUCAAAAUAGAAGUGACACUCUAUUUAGAAGUGAAUGCUAAUGAGAGCAGUAAAUAUCAAGUGGUGAGAAUGUAGCCAAAGCAGAAUUUGGAGGGAGCUCUAGUUCUUUAAAAUGACAGUUUCAAAAUAAAUGAAGUAAAUUCCAGUAACUAUGUGAACUUCCCUCUUGCUGAGACACUGGCUAUUACCUUUUGAGAACUGGCAGUUUUAAAAGCAAGGCUCCAUUCUCUACUUAAGGUGGUGUGAACUUGGACGUUUAACAGAGUUUAUGUGCCCAGAGUUGCUCUGAGCAUUUCACAUUUAAUAGCUCAUUUAAUCCUCACAACAAUUCUAUGAGCAGAUUAUUCUGAUCCUGUUACAAAAAAGGAAACUGAGUCAGAGAGUGAUUAAGUAACUCAUUCAAGAGGACACAGCUCCUGAGUGUCAGAGUCAGGCUGUGAACUCUCAAAGUCAGAUGUAUCUCUACAUACAUGCUCAUUUAUAGGAUUAUAUGCAUCAGUAUCUUUUUCAUUCACUCAUGUAGAUUAAUUCAGUUUAGAUCAGUAGACGCUGCAGCGUCCUCUGAAAUAAGCUAGGAUGUGUUACCUGGCCAGACUGGGAGGUGCCUUCAAGUAGCAUGUAAAGGUGUAAGCAGGGGCCCUGGGCUACCACAGAGCAGCCUUUGAAUCCUAAUGAUGCCAUUUAGUAGCUGAAUCACUUCAGAUAAAUCAUUUAACCUAAUUAAGCAAUUACCUUAUCUGUAAGUGGGAAAUUAAAAUUUGUUCCUCAUAGGGUUGAUGUGAGAAUUAAAUAAUUUAUUUGAAACCACUGCCCCCAUCCCCACCUCCACCCCACACUCUGUCUGCUAUGAUUUGUUAUGGCAGAAUGGGUGGAGGGAGUCCUCAGGGACUCUGGCCCGCAUCCAGUUGUCCACUGACUUAAUCUGGUAAUGAGUUUAUUCCUCAGCAUCUUCUCCCACGCAGGGUGAGUUGCUUGCCUUCAGUCUCUCAGCUAGAACAGAAUCUUCAAAGCCAAAGCUGGCUCACCAGGGUCCUAUUGUCUGUCAUUUCCUCUUGGUUCAUCUGACUAGGGUAUUGUGGACGGUAAGAUCAGCACAAAGGGGAAGUGUUCCUUUGGGGAGGGGGUUUCACUGCAACAGAAAACAGUGUCAUGGGGAGAACUGGGCAUUGGAGAAAGGUCAUCUGACUCUUUAAAUGGGAAAUGGAUUAUACCCGGUGCUUUUUGAGAGCCCAUGUGCUCACUCAGAAUUCUUGUCUAUAGACCAAAGAAGAGGGACUGGAAAUCCCAGAUGUAAGGCAGAGGCAGUGUGUGCAUGGCGUGUGUCCAUGUGUGUUGGAACCCGUGCAAGGAAGCGUGGUGUCUUGUCUUUGACCCACAGACCCUCAUCCUAGAGAAGGCAGGUGGUGGGUGUGGGCAGCAGAUGCUGUUGUCCCUAUGAAUCAAGUCUAUCAGGAGAGUCUGGGUUUAUAAAUAAGUCUUUGUUUCCAGAGUGAAGAACUGUUUCAGGGUGGGGAGGAGAAGGCACAGCAUUUUUGGUCACCUGCACAUGGGUUGGGAGGUUCCCGUCUACCACUUCACAGUCCUUUACUAUCCUGCUGUGGGAUGUGAAGGACCAGAUGUCCCCUCCCCUGUGUCCUUUGUUUCACCCAGAGACUCCUUCCUGGGAACUCGUGGCCUUCUGGCUUGUCCUGCCACCCUCUCCUCUGGGGGUCAGGGCACUGAUGGGAAGAAGCAGUCAGAUAGCUGGUGAAGGAGGUAUUCCUCUUGUGGGGUGACUUCCUUUUUCUUUCUUUGUCCCUGUCCUGUCUUUCUGCUCUGAUUUGUAAAAUCCUUAAUGAAAUGCUGGAGAUUUAGACUUGUGGGGCAGCCCUGCUUUCACUUAGGGAGGGGCAGGAGUUCAUCUCCUCUUUUCUCUUCUGGAGGGCACCUAUUUAUCUGCUUCAGUGGUUUUUCUGUUUUCUUUCUUUCUUCCUUGUUUUGACAACCGGACACUUUCUUAGAAUGAAAUCUUGUAUUCACUGUAUAAACAGGUAAAAGUGAAGUUAUGCAGAUUAGAGAGGGAGGAAGACCCAGGAGCCCUGCCUGUAGGCCUCCCCUCCCCCUGACUCCCCUGGGUGGCUUCUGAGGCACACCUGAGGCAUCUUGGGGUUUCCCCAAACCACAGUAGAAAGCUAACCUGACUUGCUGAGAAACUUGAGGUUUAACAAAGACAAGUGUUGUCCCCAAGGCCCACAGCUCCUGUCUCCCAGCCCAGGGUUCUUUCUGCAGAGCUAGACUGCUGCUCUCCUGGCCCCUGGCUGCUCUUGUGAUAGGCUUUGUGCAGGGUACAGUGCCCUAAGAGGCCCCGAGACAGGUGACCUAUUCCUGAACCUUGACUCUGUCGGCAGCUGGGAGACCCUGAAUAAAUUACAGCUUCUCUGAACUGCAGUUGCUUCACUGUAGACUGCAGAUAGGAUUGGAUGACAUGGUGUACAGAAAGCAAGGAGGGUGUUGUGACUACCCAGCACUUUGUAGGGGCCCUACAGGUGGCAACUCUUUUUAUUAACUGAGCUAGUGAAAAGGGGCCUGUGGUCAGAUGGACUGAGGAUGAUGGAGAAGGCAGUUUGAAAGGCAGCACUGAGUGAGAGGAUUGCAGGUUAAAUUGCUUGAGCUUGAGUUCUGGGCCCCUCAGUUCUUCCCACUUUCUGUGCAGAGGGAAGGUCAUAACCUUGGCUGUGAAUUCUCAAACUUGGUGUACAUUUGAGGGUCAAGUGUGGGGAGACACAUCCCCAGCUGGAGCCCAGUGUUGCCUAAGUCAUUCCUAAUAUCUCCCAUCUCUUGACAUGAGAGGCGUCAGGAGGCUGGGCAGGGAGGAAAUGGGUGCUGGGCUCAUGUUCCCCUGUACUGACCCCUUACCCCCACCCCCUCGUGGCUGAUCUUGCAGCUGUUGUAACGUUCCUAUUACCACAUACUCUGAUUCUUUGAUAAUGAUGCUGAAGUUCUCUUCUCAGCUAAGCCCAGUCAUAGGCCUGAGGAUAAAGGGCAUUGUGUGCUUUCCUUGCCUUUGGGGUCCCCAAUGCCCCUUGGUCUGCAAGAGCCACCUGUGUCAGAAAGGAAGGAGCCCCUCCUGGGAUCUGGUAGAGCCCACUCUGUAGGGGAUCCCUGGGGGUAGUUCCAGGCUCAUGUGACUCCAGAUAACAAGUGAUGAUGGCCUCUUCCUGCACAUCUGAUCUGGAUUAAAUGUUGUUUUCUACUUUUGGAAAUAGCAUGCUGCGUGAGGGGGAAAACUCUAGGAGAAGAUAGAAGCUAUUCUGUGUGUGUCAGUAACCCAUUGUUUGGUCCAUUGGGUAAGAACUUUAAAAUAUUAUUUAAUCCUCAAGUAAGUCCUGGCAGGCUGUUUUUAAAAUACACAUUUAUAUAUAUGUAAGUUAUAUAUGUAUGUGUGUACUUAUAUGUACGUAUGCUAUAUAAUUUUAAUAGAGGAAAGAGGCAGGGAAGAGGAGGGUGGCUUUUCAGUGAUUCCUCCUUGUUGGCAUAAAACCCAAGAGUAAGUUUUGGCAGUGUUAGUAGGCAUGCAGGCGGAAGGUGACAGGCAGGUGACAAGUCGAUGGAUACGUAUUUUUUAUGUGCCAGCCUUGUGCCAGGUGCCCUGUAGCUACUAAGUCCUAAGAGAUACUGUCUCUGACCUCAAGUUGCUUAAAAUUGAGGUAGGUCAGAAGUAGAGAUUGCAACCCAUAAAACUCUUAGAUGAAAAUCCGGGGGCAGUUUUGUGGGGUAGAUGUGAUCAAAGAGAGACUGUGAAGAUAGAAUUUGGUUAGCAGAGGAGGCUAAGAGAUGUUCCAGCCACUGGGUAUUUGUAGUGGCAGAGAGGGUGCACAGAAAGCCCAGGAGCAGGAAUGGGUGUGAUGGGUGCAGAAUACAGUGAGAUCAGGUGGAGGGAGAAGGCUCCUGGUGGAGAGCAGGGGUAUGACUCUAAGGCAUAAAAACGCUAGUUUCCAAAGAAUCUUGAAAGGCAGGCUGAGGCCUUUAACUUGACAAGUAACUAUCAUAUAUGGAGAAAGAACUAUCAUAUAUGGGGAUAUAAUGCGAUUAGAACAGAGAGAUAGCCAAAUGGGUGGGAGGCUGUUGCAAUGGUGUGGGGCCCAAUGCUCAGUCAAGGUCCAGUGACAUGCUAUUAUUUCUGUGUCACAGAUGAGGAAAUGGAGACUCAGAUACAGAACCAUGUGUUUAAGUCUCAGUGACCAGCAUGUAACAAGGCAGCAAUGCCUUGGAAUGGAUCUUACUGACACAUACUUGAGGUUUUCCCCUUCUGUGUGCAUCUCCAGAUGACCUUGGAAGAAAGGACACUCAGCAAAAGCUUAUUAACUUUCCUUUCCAGAGGAAGACAGGUUCCUGCUUUUUAGUAAGAAUUGUAGAGAUCUUAUUGGUAGAGGAACCUGAGGAGGCUGAUGAGAAGCCUGAGUGUUGAUGUUUGACCAAGGGAACAUUUGUCUCAAACUUUAGAAAUGAUGGGUAAGUCCAGGCUGCUGAACGCUGCUGAAGUUAAUUAUUUAUUCAGUUAAAAUUAAUGCAAUUUCUGUUAAGUGCCUACUAUGUGUUAAGUACUCAGGGACUAUGUGGGAUCAAUUAAUUCAUGACAACUACAGUACUGAAUUUUAAUUGCAAGGGACAAAGCCAGCUCUGGCUAAUGAACAAAAUGACUGCAUUGGGAGGAUCCUGUUCAACUCACUGAGAGGAUACUGUGGAAGAUCUGCAGACCCUGCUGAAAGCCAGGGGUCACCCUGGACAGGAAGGAGGGUGGCUCUGUUGCAUGCUGCCAUCGGUUGGCUCAGCUCUAUUCACUUCAGACUCCUCUCACAAGUGACAUUCCUCUGGGUGCUCAGGUCACCAUUGAUGGCCUCCCCAGAAUCACAUGGGAUGUGAUUUAGAGGAAGAUUUAUUGAAUGGACAGACAGACACCUCCCCCUCAAACACACACAAAGAAUCUACUUUAGAAGAUACAUAAGGCAAUUCUGAACCACCAGGAGUUUAUCAUUAGAAAAAAUAGAUAAAUAAAGGAAUAAAAAAUAAUAGGCUGUGGCGGUUGCUGUGUAAGCGUUGUACAAAGUGCUUAGGGAGGUUGUAAAUUUUGCAUGGGGGAGGCAUGUGUCAGGUAAGGUACACAAAGGUUGUCUGAACCAAGUUUUAAGGGCAGAGUAAAAUUUUGCCAGUUGGACAAACGCCCUUCAGGAAGAAGCCCUUGGGUGACAGUAGUGAUGUGAAAAAGAAUGUGUGCAGGAAAUACAAGGAAUUCUAAAUGUGUAGACCAUCAAUGUGGGUGGGGCUGGAUCUUAAAGGGCCCUGUGUGUUCUCGUAGGCAUUUUGGGAGUUAUAAUUCUAGCAGAUGAGUGGUCAUUAAAUAACUUUAGGUGGCAGAGGGAUGUGAUCAGUUUCGUUUUAGGAAGAUUUUUGUGGAGGUAUUAGAUCCUACUCCCUUCAAAGUGCCUAUUAAUCUAGGGAUGCUGGUUUUUGCAGAGCAGCCAGAGAGUGAGAUGCUGCAAGAGACAGUCACGAGACUUCUCCAAGGUUGGAGAACCCGAUAUAUCUAUGGGAAAUCCCAGUGACUCCUUGUGUGUGUGUAGGGGGAUGGUAGUGGGUACAGGAAAAAGGCUCCUGGUGGUCUCUUUGCCUGUGGAGUUCUGAGUGUUUGGGUGACGUGUCUUGGGCCAUAGGCUGCUGAAGGUUGUGCAGAAGCAGGCAUAGGGGAUUCCCCUGCGCCACCUGCACCCUCAGUAUCCAGUUUGCUCUUUGUGUUUAUAAGUUUGCAGUGUGCAGUUCAGCAGUGGACUGGGGAGAACAAUCCGGAAGAAUGUAGAAAUAGCCCGGGCCCUUGUUGCGGGGUGGGAAUGUAAUCAUUUCCUUAGCCAUUUGGUGAUUCUGCAGAGGAAGGUGAAUAAAAUUGAGAAAUCUUGGGUCCCCAGAGGUUGCUGGGGCCGGGGAAGGGAGGAGAGUUUCCUUUUUCCUUUUGAACAAUAGCUGACAGGGGACAGCGUAGCACCAUUUCCUUUGUAAUAGGUGGUGUCUAAAAACAGGAAAAUUUUCUUUACUCCAGCUAUGAGAAUCCAAAGUUCAUGCUUUGGAGGAACUGUAGCUAGAAUUUUCUCAAAGGGUCCAGAACCAGUAGAUGGGUUAGAUAGAAUCUGCUUGUCGUUAUGUGGUAGCUGGGUGGCUUUUGGCCAAGUUACUAAGCCUUCGUAUGUUUUAGGUUCGACUAGAGUGAGUUUUCAAAUGCCAUUAUUCAUACCGUCACUGGCAGUAGCAACAAGACCUAGCACUGGGCUGGGGGUGCAUCUCAGUGGUAGAGUGCUCCCCUGGCAUGGGUGAGGCUCCUGUUUGGUUCCCUACCUGGGUUCGGUUAUCCCAUCUGGGUUUGAUUCCCCAGCACCAGAAAAGUAGCAAAUCAUCAAAAUAGCAAAAACCCCUAGCAUUUCAGUGUGUCAGGCCUGUGCAAAAGUGUUUUAUAUCCCUAAAUUCUGUGAGUUAGGUAUUGUUAUUAUCAGCAUCUAACCGAUAAGGCAACCUAUGCCUAACAGGAUGAGUAGCUUACUUGUUUUUCCCUUCUCCCUGUCUGUCAUCCCCUGCAAAAAGUCAGUAGAUUUCAGAUAGUACUACACCAGAGUUUUAAGACCUCAUAGAGCUGCUGUAAGUUUUAAAGGAAAUGAUGUAUAACAAGCUUAACAUAGCUCUUGGGCCUUAGUGAGCAUUCAGUGUUCACUACUUACUGUUUUUUUCUUCUCACUCGGCUCCUUUUUGUCUUUUAUAGAAGCAGCUGACACAGGAUGAUGAUGCCGACGAGGUGGAGAUCGCUAUUGACAACACAGCUUUCAUGGAUGAGUUCUUUUCUGAGGUGGGCAACCUUCCUGCAUUUUUUGGGGGGAGGGGGUGAAUAUACAUAAGGAAACACAGCUUCCUCAGUAAGAGUAAAAAAUCUGGGCUCUUUCAGGGGUGGCAGGCAGUCUUUUGUUGGGGUGAGAGGGCUGAAAAUGUUAGAGGGGAGUCUCCAGUUCUUGUGAGAAACUGGAAUCUUCGAGUCAUCAGAGGGUAAAUUACAUGUAAUUGAGGAUAUGCUUUUAAAAUUGUAUGCUACAUGACAGCAUUUUAAUGAUAUCCUUUCUUGCCAAAGCACAUAAUUUAAAUACAUCAACCAUAGGCUCACAGCCAUGAGUGUUAAAAUUGAAUUUCAUCUCGAGGCCUGAUUCUGAUAAAUCAAAUUUGUUGUCUCUAAACAUUUUUAUGGUCCCUUUGACCAUAAAAUUAAUUUAAUUAAUUUUAGCAGUAACAGAGAAACCAAGAAUCUAGCAGUUUAUUUUUGUAAAGUUUAACAGGGGCCAAAAUGGGUUGCCCAUGUCUACAAAUUCACCUGCUUGUUGAUCUUGAAGGCCUUAUAGGGAUGUUGAUAGGUAGUGAUGGAAAAGCAGUGGCUUUGGAGCCAAAUGAACUUGGGCUCAAAUGUCAGUCUGCUUCUGUCCAACUGUUGAUUUUGUGAGCUUUCCUUAACAUGCUGAACCCUGGUUGGAGUCUGUCCUCAUCUAUAAAUUGACAUUGAUAAUAUCAUAAUUCCUUAUAGGGUUAUCAUAACAAUUGAGAUAAUGCUUAGAAAACAUCCAGAGUAUCAUCAGGCCUAUGUGUGCUCAAUGAAUAGUAUGUUAAAAAAGAAGAGGGAAAAAAACCCAACAAACCAGAAAGCUUAUUGUUGCUGAAGUUUCUGCCAUUGUAUAAUGGUUUCUUUAUUUAGGUCCCCCCCACUCACCCCCCAAAAGAAAAGAAGAGGCAUUGUGUUUUUUUUGCAGGGAAAAUUUGGGCACUGCCCAUCAUCUGGAUUGUGGAUGUGGAAACGUAGCUUCCAGAUUUCCUCUAAAUGCAGUGGAGUGGGGCUUGACAGUCAUGCCCAUUCAUCUGCUAGAGUAAUAACCAGGCUCAAGAGCAAACUUGAGCAUGUAUGUGCUGACCUGAUUGGGAAGUGUGCCGUAAACCUCCACAGCUCCACACCCAACUUGUGGGUGGGUCUGUCCCUUUGGUCGAGGAAGUCAUGGUGAGAUCAAACAACGCUGGGCUUUUGUGAAUCCAGUGUUAUUCCACUUGUGGAUCAUGGAGGGCAAAUGUCCUCUAUUCAUUGGGGGUUGGGUGAGAGGAGUAGCCUUCAGGAGACAUUUGCAGAUUCUGUAGUUUGUCCCUAAUUCUUGCCCUGGAGAGCCACACAUAUUAAAGAAUGUCUUCCCUAAGAUGAAGAAUCUCCUCUAGUAACUUCUUGCUCUUUCAGUGGGUGGGUGGGUCCCUGGGAGUCAGUGUUCCUUAUGAGGUGGGAAGAUGGUGGGCUUUGACUUGUGAGGCAUGGUUGGAGUCUGUCCUCAAGCAUUUUGUAGCAGUGUGACCUUGGUUAAGAUACUUAACCCGUUUUAGCUUUAGUUUCCUGCUCUGGAAGUCCCUUGACUUGUCAGCCUGUCCCUCUCAAGGCUGUUGGGAGAGUCACAUGAGCUCAUGAAUCUGGCAAACAUUCUCUGGACAGAAAAGUGCCCCAUGUGGAAGAAAGGUGUUUGGAAGAGGCCCCUGAGAGAGGUAGUGUGACCACCUCCAGGGCUGUUUGGAUUCCUGUUGCUUUCUUUGUGUUAAAUGCUUUUUGAUCACUUAGGAGAAAAAAAACAAAAACAAAAAACAAGGAAACCCCAUCAUAUUUAGGGCAGAGAAGGGGACUGCAUGGUGAGGUGAAAAGAGCACUGUGUGUCAUGAACUGUGUGAUAUUGGUCAUGUUCCAUAAGGUCUCCAUGUCUCAGUGGGUUUAUCUGUGAAACAGAGAGAAAAAUAUUCCAAGCUUUGUUGGGCAUGAGAAGAGCUGACACUGGGAAAGAGCUUAGAAUGGGGUUAGGCAGUGUUGCUUCCCUCCUUUCUCAUUUGCAAGAGCCCAGAGAGGAAAGAUGCUGGGGGGUGGGGGUGGCACAGAGGAGAGAGGGAAUGGUCACUGGAAGAGAUCCUGCAGGCAGUGGUGAACAGAUCCUGCUCUAAAUCUCAGCUCUGCCCAUUGGAAAAGUUGUGUAGCUACUUUAAACUCCAGUUUUCUCUCAAAUGGGAAUAGUACUGCAAUCUACUAGUUGUUAUGAAUAUAAAAUGAGAAAGUAUCUGGAUGUACCCAGCACAGUGCCACCAAAUUUUAGUCCUCAUCAUCCUUUUGUCCCCAUAUACUCAUGAGUAAGCAGACCAUAGAGUUCAUUUUAUAGAGCAUGGCUUGGAAAUAUCCUUCAUAUUGGGAUAAAGUACUUUGGAUAAUAGGGAUUUGGGGAAGUGAAGGAGUUUCCCUCUGUGUAUGACUGAGGAACCUGCCCAGUGUACCUUAGUUAGACACAGCUAACAAAGAUAGCACUCUUGUGAUAGACUUUGCUUUUUGGAUUGGUGCCAACAGGACACCUUUGAUUAGGUCCUUUGCUGAGAACUCAUAGUGCAAGUCAUGGGUUGGUCAUAGAGGCACAUGCAAGAUGCAGAUGAAAUCAUGGACCUCAAAAUAUAUUUUCAGAAUGUGCUUUGCAGUGUAAAAUUUGAAUGGCUUCUCUGUCUUCUCAGUUGUUAAAGAAUUGGCCCUUGGGUUUUCAGGCUACUUUGGCCAAUCAACCCAGGCCUCGUAAAUUAUAAACCCUGGACUUUGUCUAAUCUGCAGUUUUCUGUAUUUCCCGUGGUCGUUUGCUCAGUUGGCAGAGAAAGCAAAGUUUUGGAGGAAAUAGACCUGCCUCUGAAGGCAGCGGUUUAUUGUUCUGUGUUCAUCCAACCAUGCUGACCACCUCCUGAUGGUGUAGUAGGUGCUGGGGUGCAGUAUUCUGUGUGACAGGUCCUUGCUCUCUGGUGUGUUUCUAUCUGGUGAGGGUGAUAGAAAUUUUUAAAAAGUUAUCAUAUUGUAGUGGAAAUAUCAAAAAGACAUUGUGGGAGCACAGAAGAAGGAGUGUGGCCUUCUGCCUGGAGGAAGGUGGGCUUCUGGGGCUCUUAUCUAGACUUGCACCUCAGAUCUGCCUGGGAGCUUAUACACACCCAUGCCCGAUUCAUAGAGACUGGGAUGGCUCAGACUUGGAUUUUUCAUUUCUUGCAUCUGAUUUUGCCACCUACUGCAGCAACGGACAACUGCAGAGUGGUGGGGAGACUUGGAGGGUUGUAAGUAAGGAAAUAAUGGGAUCGGAGUGUGUUUUAGACAAAUCAAUCUAUGGCAGUUUGUGGAGGAAAGGAAACUCCAAAAACAGAAAUACCAGCAGAUUGGCCGAUGCAGCAAAGCAUGGGGAAAAGAGUCGGGCUUUGGUCUGGAUCUGUCAAUCUGAGCAGUAGCAUGGGGCAUCAUUUAGGGAUGUUUUGACUAACUGUUGCUUAAGCAGUAAAGAGAUGUAAUUAUUUCACGCAUGGAGAAGUUUCCUAUUAGGGAUGUACUGGGGCUUCAGGCCAGCAUCUCUGUGAUCCUUUGGGAUUUUCCCUUAGGGUUAAGAGAACAAGUCUGUUCUGAUUAUCAUUGCUUUAUAACAAACUACCCCAGUGUUUAGUGGUGUAAAACAACUAUUUUGUUAUGCUGACAGAUCCUUUUGAUUGGGUAUUUGUCUAGGGCACAGUGGGUGGUGUAUCUCUGUUCUACAAUACGUGGAGCAUUGGUUGGGAAGAAUUGAACUACCAGAGGCUAGAAUCUAAUAGAAACUUCAGUAUUCUAAUAGUGGGUGCCUGGACUGGGGUGACCAAAAAGAAAAGCUCAGUAGAAACUGUCAACCAAAGCCCUCAAACGUGGCCUCUGUGUCUAGUGUUCCUCAUAGCAUGGAGCACUCAGGGUUGCUGGACUUGUGACAUGGGGUUCAGGGAUGCAGGGCCAGUGUUCUGGCAAUGAAACUUACGUAGCGCAGUCACAAGCCUGCCAGAUUUGAGAGAGAAACCCAGGGAUCCUACCUCUCAAUGGGAAGAGCAUUAAGGAAUUUGUGCCCCUAUAUAAAACUACCCAAGAGUCAAAGCUCUGUUUGACAUCACCCAGCGUCAGCAUCACUAGCAAAAAAAAAAAAAUGGGAAUUGCUAGAAAAGUCUAAGAAUUCUUUUUAUCAGGGAGGAGAGCUAUCUAAUGGUCAAACUGACUUCCUCUGUGGCUUACUCGCUAUCACUGGGUCAUGUGGUCAUGACCAUCCCUAGUUGGAAGGGUGCCAGGAAAAUAUGUACUUAGUAAAGGGAUAAGAUUACUAGGAUCUCUAUAGUGCAGGUCAAGAUCCAUCAUCUUGGGCUGGCAGCAUAGCGGCCAAAACAGAAUCAGAAUUCUGUUAAAAAGAAAAAGAACAGCAGUCGAGGGGCUCGCUCUUUGGUGGGUCAAAGUACUUGUCUUGGAACACAGUGUGGGAUGCAGAAAGUCUCUGUGAUGAAGAGUGUUUGGGAUUCCUGUUCUUCUCUCUUAGAAAUUUAAAAUGCACAUUAACUUUUCAAAGCCUCCAUGAAGUCCUGUUGUGAGGAAACCUGCUCACCUUGGCUAGCCCAGCAUUGAGUUUUUCACCCUUUGUGACAUGGAACUUCUGUUAACAAGGAUGAAUGAAUACACUUUGGAAAAUGCUAUUAGAGAGUUUUCUUUUUUGGAUUCUAUCUUAGCUUGGGCUGCUGUCACAAAGUACCAUAGACUGUGUGGUUUAUAAAGAAAAGGAAGAAAUAAAUUUAUUUUCCACAGUUCUCUAGCCUGGAAGUGUGAGCUCAAGGUGUCAGCAUGACUGGACUCUGAUGAGGGCCCUCUUCUAGACUGUGGACUGCUGACUUCUUGUUGUAUCCUCACGUGAUAGAGAGCAAAGCUAGCUUUGGCUUCUUCUUAUAAGGUCUCACUCAUGAGGGCUCCACUCUCAUUACCUAAUUACCUCCCCCUCCCCAUAUAUGAUCACAUUAGUUAGGCACCAACAUGAAUUCACUGGUGUGUGUGUGUGUGUGUGUGUGUGUGUAUAAGAAACAGUGAAUCCAAAAUAGGUGCACUUAAAAAAAUUGGAGACUGUUUUACAGGAGUAUAUGAAGCAUGUUUGUCUCUUGAGGUUGCUUAUGUUCAUUUAUUUAUUCAACAGACAUCUACUGAGUGACAUCCAUGCUUGACAGACACAGUGGUGGAUAUCAAGUAGUCAAAGAUGAGAAACCCAACGUCCCAGCUCUGGAAGAGGUCCAAGUCAGGAUUAGAGAGUGUGGGCAAAGUGCUACAGAGCCUAGAGGGGGGUCCAAGGUGGGGUGGGAAACUGGAGCAAUGCCUGGCUAGAGGAUCUGCCAGGUGACCAGUCUUGAAACAUAGGGAUUUGCUAGUAAGCUUGAUUUUUGUUAGAACUAAGAAUCUCCAAGUGGUUGGAAUAAGAAAUCUAAGCAUUAGAUCGCACUCAGCAGGUUAAAUAUUUUUAGCAUUUUAAAUAGGAUAUUUGGAUGAUAGGGACCAAACGAGGCAAGCGGGCACGCUCUUCGUUUCUGGUCUCUUUCUGUAGUCAGGCAGGAAGCCCUGGCCAGGCAUUUGCCUGUGUGCUCUCAGGCCUAUCACCCACCCUUCCUGUGCUCUGUUCUCUGUUGCAGAGAAUUAUGUUUUGCAGGUUCCUUCACCAACUUGCUCUUGGUAUGUUCGACCGAGGGCAGUGCUAGGGAGUGAAUAUUUGUGCUCGCCCCAUUCAUAUUUUGAUUUGGGAUUUCCUAGCCUCCAGAACUAUGAGAAGUGUGUGCUUGUUGUAGAAGUCAUCAGGUCUAGGGCAUUUUUGUUAUAGGAAUACUAAUAGGUUGGACAGGGAAGUGCUGGCUGUGUCUUCUCCCCAGACUCUGCCUCCAUGGCCCCAGUUCUGGUGGACUCCACCAAGGUCAGGCUCUCGUGGCCCCACCUUCUUUGUGCCUCCAGCUGUUGCUGCUUGUUUUCAGAGUGCCUCACCAUCCUCUGUUGGGCUUUUUAGCCUUUGUUCCCAGUGUGAAAAACUCCCUGUAUUAUUUUGGCUCAAAUAAUUACAUAAGUUUUUGUUUUCCUGACUGAAUUUUGAGUAACGCAAACCCCAGAUAUACUUAAUUUGAGAUUAUGGUCUAAGAAAACUUGUUUUUGCUGGUCAAUAUAACUCUGAGAUCAUUCUUUUCUUUUCAUUCAUAAAAAAACAAGUUGAAACACUAGUCCCAGUCUUUAUAAAACCCCCUCGGGACUUGACUGUUUGUUGCUUGUUUGACUAAGGUGACUUCUCCCUCCCUUCUCAACAGUGUUUGUUUUCUAAAGCAAAGAAGCAAGGCCAGGCGUGGUUGUGCACCCUGUAACCCCAGCUGCCCGGAGGCUGAGGCAUGAGGAUCAUAAGUUCAAGCCCAGCUUGGACAAUUUAGCAAGACCCUGUCUCAAAAUAAAAUGGAAGAAAGGGCUGGGCAUGGAGCUCAGUUGAAGAGCACCCCAUGGUUCAGUCCCCAGUACCAAAAAUCAGUCAGUCAGUCAAUCAAACUUAACAAAUCCAGAGGACUUGACUGAGAAGCUCAAAUAUAAGGAUUGUUUUGGAUUAUGCCUUUUAUUUUUGAUACCAGGGAUUGAACUCAGGAGCACUCGACCACUGAGCCACAUCCGCAGCCCUGUUUUGUAUUUUAUUCAGAGACAGGGUCUCAAUGAGUUGCUUAGUGCCUCACCAUUGCUGAGGCUGGCUUUGAACUUGACAUCCUCAUGCCUUGGCCUCCCAAGCCUCUGGGAUUACAGGCGUGCGUCACUGCACCUGGCUUAUGCCAUUAUUUUUGAGGAAAAGUAAAGGUGUAUGAAUUGUAAAAAGGAGGGAUCAUUUAUUUGACUACAGCCAUGCUACUUUUGUCAUCUUAGAAUGGGUACAAAGUUAAAUUUUCAGUACAUAAAAAUGCAUGAAUUAAUACCCACCUAAAGGUACAAGAUACAGGGGCAUUUAGGGGAAGUAGAGACUAAUUCUAGGACCAGAAACAAAGCUUUUUGCUUCAUCUUCCACCAUGCAACCUGCUAGUUUCCAAAGCAGCACUUCCUCUGCUUUUCAUCGCCUACCUGGAUCCUACUGGUUAAUUAAGUCCAGAGAAAGGCCAUCCAUGCCUUCAAAAUAAGUACUUCCUUUUAGCUAGAUGAUAGUGGUUAGUAUAAUAUGGUUAUUACAAUUGGCAACACCCAACAAGUGAUUGACUUGCUGCCUUUAGAUUUCCUUGAGUGGCUAUCGAUGACAUCAGUGCCUUGUUAACAUUACGAUUGUCUAAAGGAUUAAACGAGACAUGCUUAUGGCUGGCAUAUAGUAAAUAUAAGGAAAUUGCUGGCAACUUUUGUAAAAUAUCAGUCAUCAUCUAACAUUUAUUGAGCAUGGUGUGGGAGUGGGAGUGUAUUUUGUGUUAAGAAUUUGACCUAAGCGUGGUCAAGGUCAUAAAAAUGCUGAAAGAUGGAGCCAAAACUUGAACCUAAUCUGUUUGAUGAUAACUUAUUUUCUUCAAUCCUAUGUUAUCUGGAGUCCCAUAUUACUGACAGAAGGCAUUGGAAACGUAUUAGCUGUAGCAUGGUGAUCAAAAACCAAAACAUGGUGAUUAAAACAAACAAACAAACCCACUUUUGGAUCGGUUCCCUCCAUCAGCAGUGUUUCUUGAAAGCUCAUUGUGUAAAAAGCUCUCUAUAAUGAAUUUUUCAGGACAAAGAAGUAAGGCACAUGAUGUCUGUGAAAUGUGGCUGAACCAGUCUCACAAAACACGGGUUGAACAUGCAUGUUAACCUGAUGUAAGUGGAAUGCACGUGGACCAGGGAGAGAAGAGGAGCCUUCUAUAGUGGUUCUUGCAGGCUUACCUGAUUCACGAGACAGGGUUUGGUACCUAAUAGAUGGCUGGGUUUAAACCUUAGUUUUGCCUGUUUUUGUAGCACGACCUGGAGUAUGUUUCUCUACCUCUUUGAGCCUCAGUUCUUGUGUAUGAAAAGGAGAUAGUGAUGGUGACCUCACAGAAGUACUGUGAAGGGCCAGAGUUGUUUCUGAUAAGCAUGUGUUCAGUCAAUUCUAGUUCAUAAGUACAUGACCAUGCAGGGAAUGUCAGCAUGCUCAACUCCAAACAAAGAGCUCUUAGGCUUUUAGAUCUGGCACUUGUCAAUUUCCUACUAGGUCUCUCCUCUCCCCCAUUCUCCUCAUAAUUUUCUGGUUAUCUGGCAACUGCACAAAAGGAAAUCACAUGUAGCUGCUGCUGUGAAAUACCCAGAAAGUCAUCUUUGAGAAAAACCAGCACUUCCAAGAAAAAACAAUGACACUCAGUUCAGGGGGGAAAAAUCAACAGCAACAAAAAACUCCUCUGGGAUUAGUCACAUCCUGAAGACCCAGAGAGGUUUGUGAUUACUUGGUGAACUCACUAAAGCUCUGUGAAAUCAAAUGCUUCCAAAUGGUGAAUUGAUGAGGAUAGAAGAGAGAGCAGUGCAGUGGGUGAGGACUGGGGGGGCGUGGUGUAUGCUCCUGGGGCCUGGGACGUCCAGUAGGCAGGGAGAGGAUGGAGGAUGCAGGACCCAACACUCCUGUCCAUAGGGCUGGAUGAGCAUCUUCCAUCCAGUCUCCGUAGGCCUGAAGUGACUCUGAACCUGAGGCUCUGCAGACUCAUUCCAGCAACUUCCCAAGUCCUGUCUUUGCUUUGAACCAUUGACCAAUGUUUGGGCCAGGGCACUCUUAAGUUCAUUAAGUGAUUUUUCCAGAAGAGAUUUUGUAAGAUAACUGGUCCAUUGGCCAUGCAAAUCUAAGGUAUUGUGAUUUGUUAAAAUUUUGUUAAACUAAUUUUAAAUUGGUUAGCGCAUUUUGUUCUAGAAAAACGUCUUUCUCAGUCCCGUGAGUACCGUGUAGUUUCUUUCGCAAACAUCCAUGUGAUGGAAGUGGAAACUUGUGCCAUUUUAUGAGCUGUAGGAGGAGCCUGCAUUUGAAUGACAGAAAAAGGAAGAACAGGUGGAAAUUUCUGGAUGUGAUUAUAACUUUAGAAACCACCAGUAUUCAUGAUGGUAACACGGGCCCUUUUUAAAGUUGAGUAGGCUUGAGAUUCUACUAGAACAGUGUAGAGAAUUAAAAAAGGUCUGAGAUCAAAUGGACAAAGAUCCCAGAUGGAUCCUGGAGGGAACUGUUGGGUGCUGUCACUACCACCAGCUGUGUGACCUGUAACUUCUUUAAGCAUUAGUUUCCUCAUUUGAAUAAUGCUACUAAUACAGUCUUGUAAGUUAUUUAGUCAGCUGUUAAAGAUCUUCACAAAUAUUUAGGUAGCUACCUAAAUGUACAUCUACACUAUGAUGAUCUUACAUUGAAAUUUUAUUCAUCUUUAAGCAAGUGAUUCUGUUGUCAAAUUGUGAUACAUUAGAGCCAAAAUAUUCAUGGAGGGGAAUACUCCUUGCUUCAGUGGCAAAAAUAUGAAUGAAUUUAAGGGUUAGAGCUCAAGUUACAUUUCUUCUAUUUUCUGUCCAAUUUGGAAAACUGUGAUCAGGUUUUUAAAAAAGGGGCAAAUCAUCUCCUGGAGGAAAGGGACACUGGGAGCUGCAUGUACAUGGAGUUGUUGUCUCGUUGUAUCCAGAUGUUAAGAUCCUCCUGCCUGUCAGUUUACAAGCUUUCUGUUGGUUGACUGCUGCAUGCUGAGGGAUGAGGUAGAUAGACCCUGUGGGUGCUGCUCUCUGUACAUCUCCCUGCACUGAAGAGGGGCUGUGUACCUUGAGGAGGGAGCUAAGUUAGCACUUACUGUGCACACGGCGGUGCCUGGUGAUGGUGUUCUGUCCAGGAGUGACGUGCUGCCGGAAAUAUUUCAUGACACCCCGUUGAACAAUCUAGAACUUUAACAUGCACAGAAAUGGUCCAUGGUCCUAGCUUCUGAGCCCUGAUCAGCUGCGGGAAUCGGGUUGAGAGAUCUUUCACUGGAACCCGUGCCCAGGACAACCUCUGCUGUCUCCUGAGACAACCAUCAUUCAUUCUCUUUCUCUCUCCCCUCUCCAUCUGUUAUCUUUAUCUGUUUCUGUCUUUUUCUUCCUCUUCUUCUCUCUCAAAGUAUUUUCCUUGCCCUUCGCUUCUUCCUUUUCUUCUCCCCACCCCCACCCUUUUCUGUCCUCACUUUUUGGGCUAAGGAGGGAUCUGCCUGAUGAGGUUUGCUGGUAUCUUCCCUCUGAUGUUCUCAUGGAUUUUCCUGAUCUUCUUGACUCUGGCCUGAACCAUGCCAUUCAAGAGGGGUGAACACUUCCCUUUCAGGGAGAAGGAGGAUGGAUUUUUAAUGACCGUUCUGUUGAGACUAGUUUCUCUCUCUAUGGAAAGGGUGCUCACUGGGCAGCUAAGACUUGAAGUCAUCAUCUCCUUCCCCAAGCCCACCGGGUGACAGUGUCACCAGUAAGCGCUGCUAAGCAUUCACCUCAGCCAUGGAUGUAGUCUUUCUCUUUGAUGAUGAAGGCUAUUGUCUUUCUGAUUGUAGAUCGAGGAGACUCGGCUCAACAUUGACAAGAUCUCAGAGCAUGUGGAGGAAGCAAAGAAACUCUACAGUAUCAUUCUCUCUGCACCAAUUCCAGAGCCAAGUGAGUGUUUACUCAGCUGAGUCACCCAGUGGUGACCUUUUGCAUCGGGGCAGAGGCAUUCCUGUUUUCCUCACCUCUGUGAACAGCAGGGAGGUGUCCACAUCACCCUGGACUAAUGUCCACAUCAUAUCACCUCUUUGAUUUCUUUACCUUAUCUGAGUUCUCACUGCCCAGCCGUCAGCUCUUCCCUUUAUGGUCCCUCUUGAACCACUUACCCAGUCUCUCCUCUGCUUCCCAGCUGGACCCUCCUGUGGCUGGCAGUGACUCUUACUGCUUCCUACAUACUCCAUGCUCUGUCCCCCGUCUCUGCCUUCAUUUAUACUAUUUCCUCCACCUGAAAUGCUUUUCCCAGCCCCCUUUCUCAAUCCCACCAGAUCAAGUCCACCUUUCCCAUGAGGUGGUCACGUAGGGUUCAGUUUCACAGGACUCCUGUUCCUAAGCUUUUUUUUUUUUUUUUUUUAAACCACCACAGAGGCAAACUUUUGUUCCUCUUAAUAGUAGGGGGAAUACAUUUUGAGAGUAAAAUUUAGGGCUCCAUUUCCUGUUCCUUAAGAACAGGGGCAAGCCCAAUUCUGUCAUUUCACUCUACUUUUUUUCAAUGACUAUUACCUCAAGAUUAAAGUUGGAACAUUUUAGCAGAGCAUAUGGGAGUCGUGCUGGUCGGGUUCCUGCCCUCCUCUCCACCUUUUCUCCCACCCUGCAUGUUCCCAUGUUACUUAUACUUUAGUCAGACUAAAUUCUGUUCUCCAAAUAUUUGUUAUUCCCUCUUGCAUGUUGUGCCUGCUCCUUGGGGCUCCAAUGCCAAUCACCUUCAGUACCCGGUUAACCCUUAGUCCUUCUUUGAGACUCUGUCCUACUUUCCUCAUCUUUAGAAGCUUUCCCAGAUCCCUAUCAAUCCCUAGCUGUGCCAGGGAGCCCUUUAUAACACCUCGUCAGAACUGCAGCCUACUCCAAACUGUAUGUCAGGACUGUUAGUUUAUUUUGCUCCCACCCCUCUCUAGACUUCGAGCACCUUGGAGGCGGAUUCUACAUCUUCUUUCUGAUUCCUUAGUUUCUAGCCCCAUUCCAAGCUUGUAGUGGGGUGCCAAGGACGGUUUUUGAAUGAAUGGUUAUAGCUAACAUCUGUUUUGCUCCAUCCAUCCCAGGAUAGUCCUGGACAUGGAGUAGGUGUAUCAAAAAUACUUGCUUCAUUCUAAGUUGAUGAACCUUGACUGAUAUCUCUUUCACCUAGAAUUCCCGCAGAAUUCUCUCCUACCCUGUGAGAUUAAGCCCGCAUCAUAAACCAGGUGGUUUCCUCCAAAAGAAAAGUUCUCAAAACUGACUUGGGGAGGUUUGUUGAAAAAGCAGAUUCUGGGGCUUAAACCCUGGGUAUUUUCUUCUGUACAUCUGGAAAAUGGUAACUGGAGAAUGCCUUUUAUUUUAAUCAAAUAUUAAUUUUGGGGGUUGCAAGGGAUUGAACCCAGGGCUUCAUGCAUAGGAUCCAGCGUUGAGCUAUGCAUUCAGCCUGAAAAUGCUUUCUAAACACACGCUCUCAGAUUCUAAUGAUAGACUCUGGGAAACACAUUAGGAUGAUACUGUUGAGAGCAGUGGGUGCCUAAGCUCCCACACCCUUUGCUGAUGGUUGUAAAAGAAGUUAGUCCUUCCUUUUCUAAUGGCUUCUACCUCCUCUGUUUACCCAGAAACCAAGGAUGACCUUGAGCAGCUCACAACCGAGAUCAAGAAAAGGGCCAACAAUGUCCGGAACAAACUAAAGAGUAAGAAGGGAACAGGGGAACAAGCUGACCCCUGCCACCAUCCACUCAGCUCCCUGCAUGUACCUCCUCUGAACUGACAGUCACCUGGAUGAAGUGACCACUUGUCCAUGUUUGCUUAUGGUUUGGGCACUGUCCCUGGAGUGACCUAUGGCAGCCCCAGAAAGUCCCCUUCUCUUGAAUCUUGACUGUAGUUGAAAGAGUCCAGAAUUGAAGUUAGGAGAUGGGAGCUGGAAUGUGCUUCAGCUACUGGCCUGGUCCUUUUGCUCAGUCCAUGGGUGUAUUCUUAUUGGUUCUGUUUCCCCAGCACCCAGCCGACAUUGGAGUAGUAAUUUUAGACAUACAUACACGCAGGAUUUAUUCAGUUCACAGAUGUUUCUUGGUGGGCACCUCCCAUUGCUGCCCACCACCUAUUUCAGAGCAUAGAUCCAAUUCUUUUGGGGAACAAAGGGUUUCCACAGUUCCAUGGCUGCAGUCUGUAUGCUCGCUCAAAGUACUUGGUGAGUACGUGCACUUGCUCAGAUGAGAAAUCAGAAUCACUGAGCCUAGCUUGUCAUUUCUUCCCCCCAAAUAAAUUACAGUAACUAUUGUAAUGGGUGUGGAAAGGGGGUUGUUGGAAGCAGCUUCCAAAAAUAAUAAUGAUAGUGUGGCUACCGCUGUGCUAAUAAGCACUUUAUGUGCAUUCUCAUUUAGCCUUCACGUUGGUCCUGUGAGGAAUGUACAAGUUGAGCUUCCCUAAUUUGAAAAUCCAAAACCCAGAAUGCUCUAAAAUCUGAAACAUUUUGAGCACUGAUAUGACCCAAGUAAGAAAUUCUACACCUGACUUUAUGUGAAGGAUCCCAGUCCAAAAACAGAUGCACUAAAAAUAUGAUGUAAAACCCUUUAGGCUGUGUUUAUAAGGUGUGUAAGAGAGAAAAGAAUUUUGUGUCCUAACCCCUAGAUAUCUCAUUGUGUGCAGGCAAAUAUUCCAAAAUCCAAAAAAUCUGAAAUCCAAAACAUUUCUGCUCCUAAGCAUUUCAGGUUAGGGAUACUCAACUAGUAUUGGCAUUUGUGUCAUUUUAUAAACAAGAGAAUGAAACAUAAGAGAGUAUAAGUGACUUUCCCAAAGUCACAGAGCUGGUCAGCAGCAGGGCAAGGAUUUGAGCUAGUCUCUUGGUGACCAAGACUCAGACCUGGUAUUGUGUGGUAAAGGCUAAUGAAAGCAGGUCUGUGGCUCACAUGAGCUGACCUUGAGGAUUACUCCUCCCUGUCGUUUCCCCUUCAUGGGUGUUGUGUGUGAGCAUGGGGGGGAGGUAUGUUUCUUAGAAAGAAGAGGAGCUGCAUUGCCGGAAUGACCUUCUUCUCAUUCCAGGCAUGGAGAGGCAUAUUGAAGAAGAUGAAGUCCGCUCAUCAGCAGACCUUCGGAUUCGGAAAUCUCAGGUAAAGUUGUCCCUGAUCUGACAAUCAUCUUCUCCAAUUCUUAUUUUCUUUCUUUUUCUUAAGCUGU